UACAGAGGCCCCAAGCGUUACUGAGAAUCACUGGGUUUAAAGGGUGCGUAGGUGGUCCGUUAAGUUCGUUGUGGAAGCCCUGGGCUCAACCCAGGAACUGCUUCGAAUACUGGCGGACUUGAGGCUAGUAGGGGUUACUGGAACUGACGGUGGAGCGGUGAAAUGCGUAGAUAUCGUCAGGAACGCCAAUGGUGAAGACAGGUAACUGGGCUAGUUCUGACACUGAGGCACGAAAGCGUGGGGAGCGAACGGG
Molecule: ribosomal RNA, 253 nt
Filed under: uncultured bacterium
Lineage: Bacteria
Description: partial 16S ribosomal RNA
Rfam family: Bacterial small subunit ribosomal RNA
Source: RNAcentral